CGUAGGGUGCGAGCGUUAAUCGGAAUUACUGGGCGUAAAGCGGGCGCAGACGGUUACUUAAGCAGGAUGUGAAAUCCCCGGGCUCAACCCGGGAACUGCGUUCUGAACUGGGUGACUCGAGUGUGUCAGAGGGAGGUAGAAUUCCACGUGUAGCAGUGAAAUGCGUAGAGAUGUGGAGGAAUACCGAUGGCGAAGGCAGCCUCCUGGGAUAACACUGACGUUCAUGCCCGAAAGCGUGGGUAGCAAACAGGAUUAGAUACCCUGGUAGUCCACGCCCUAAACGAUGUCAAUUAGCUGUUGGGCAACUUGAUUGCUUGGUAGCGUAGCUAACGCGUGAAAUUGACCGCCUGGGGAGUACGGUCGCAAGAUUAAAACUCAAAGGAAUUGACGGGGACCCGCACAAGCGGUGGAUGAUGUGGAUUAAUUCGAUGCAACGCGAAGAACCUUACCUGGUCUUGACAUGUACGGAAUCCUCCAGAGACGGAGGAGUGCCUUCGGGAGCCGUAACACAGGUGCUGCAUGGCUGUCGUCAGCUCGUGUCGUGAGAUGUUGGGUUAAGUCCCGCAACGAGCGCAACCCUUGUCAUUAGUUGCCAUCAUUCAGUUGGGCACUCUAAUGAGACUGCCGGUGACAAGCCGGAGGAAGGUGGGGAUGACGUCAAGUCCUCAUGGCCCUUAUGACCAGGGCUUCACACGUCAUACAAUGGUCGGUACAGAGGGUAGCCAAGCCGCGAGGUGGAGCCAAUCUCACAAAACCGAUCGUAGUCCGGAUUGCACUCUGCAACUCGAGUGCAUGAAGUCGGAAUCGCUAGUAAUCGCAGGUCAGCAUA
This 829-nucleotide ribosomal RNA is filed under the name Neisseria meningitidis. RNAcentral describes it as "bacterial SSU rRNA". It matches the Rfam family "Bacterial small subunit ribosomal RNA", at positions 526 to 1356 of the family's 1533-position model. Lineage: Bacteria; Pseudomonadati; Pseudomonadota; Betaproteobacteria; Neisseriales; Neisseriaceae. The record is from RNAcentral.